GACAGAGGAUGCAAGCGUUAUCCGGAAUGAUUGGGCGUAAAGCGUCUGUAGGUGGCUUUUCAAGUCCGCCGUCAAAUCCCAGGGCUCAACCCUGGACAGGCGGUGGAAACUGUCAGGCUCGAGUCCGGAAGAGGCGAGUGGAAUUCCUGGUGUAGCGGUGAAAUGCGCAGAUAUCAGGAGGAACACCAAUGGCGAAGGCAGCUCGCUGGGACGGUACUGACGCUGAGACGCGAAAGCGUGGGGAGCAAACAGG
Molecule: ribosomal RNA, 253 nt
Filed under: uncultured bacterium
Lineage: Bacteria
Description: partial 16S ribosomal RNA
Rfam family: Bacterial small subunit ribosomal RNA
Source: RNAcentral